RNAcentral lists this long non-coding RNA (299 nucleotides) under Felis catus (domestic cat). RNAcentral describes it as "lncRNA (ENSFCAG00000045094.2)". Lineage: Eukaryota; Metazoa; Chordata; Mammalia; Carnivora; Felidae. The record is from RNAcentral.
GUCAAGCUGUGAAGUCAAGCAACUUCCUGCAUUAUGACCUCUCAGUCACAAAGGGAAUACAUUUCUUCUUGCAGCAUUAGUAAGCUGUUUUCUCAUCCACAGGUAUGUGUAAUGUUGUUGGGCAUGGACAGGACGUCUAUUCAUUGAACAUGUCAUCAGACAGAAAGAAAUGGUUACCAGCUUGGAUUCAACUUCCUGCUGGCCUUUCAAUCCUGGAAAGCGAAUACAGUUACCUAGCAGCAUACUCAGAGCUCAGGACAGUAGCAGUUGAAUCAUCUCAAGAAACAAAGAAGGGUUGA